CAACCCUCAAGCUCUGCUUGGUAUUGAGUCUAUGUCAGCAAUGGCAGGCUCUAAAAUCAGUGGCGGCGCCGCUGGGUCCUGAACGUAGUAAUAUCUCUCGUUACAGGUUCUCGGUGUGCUUCUGCCAAAACCCCAAAUUUUCUAUGG
RNAcentral lists this ribosomal RNA (147 nucleotides) under Pycnopeziza sympodialis. Its description in RNAcentral is "ITS2 ribosomal RNA". Lineage: Eukaryota; Fungi; Ascomycota; Leotiomycetes; Helotiales; Sclerotiniaceae. The record is from RNAcentral.